GAAAGCAGAGCGUCCCCAUUCCCAAAAUUAUUAGAGGUUCGAGGUUCUUUUAAACCCAAAAUCAUUUUAGUGAGCUUUUAACCUCUGAUAGCUCCCGAGCAGCAGCCGAAGGCUUCGUUCCCCUCGCUGUGCCCAAGGUCCGAGGCGUCCCUGCCAGACCAGGGGGGCUCCCGGACAGGCACGGCCCCGGUGGGGCAGGACGGCGCUGCCCGGCAGGAGCGCCCCAAGGACCUCAGAGGGAGGGAGCACAACUUCCACACGAGCUGGGCCCCCAGUCUGAACAAACAAACAAACCCCAAGAACAACCAAACCCUUCCUCGCCUUUAGAAACCACUUUUACCGAAGCACCCACACGAGCAAGUGAACUUUCUCAGCGAAUCCGUUCCAGGGACGUCGUUUGUCUGCUGGCCGGUGGUAAUCAGCUGUGAGAAGCUGUCGCCUCCGUCUAAGACGGAGAGGCCCUGCAGAGAGACCUGGACAAGUGAGGGGACUGGGCAAUGACCACUUGUAUGAGCUCUGGCCAAGACCAGUGCUGGAUUCUGCACCUGGGGCACAGCAACCCUGGAUGUACAGACAGGCUGGACAGCAGCACUGCAGGAAGGGACCUGGCGGCCUUGGUCGAUGGCAACUUGACAAUGAGUCAGCUCUGCCCUGUCUGCCUAGAGAAAUUUUAGAGCUAGAUUAUGCAAGUCUUUCUUUUUAAUUUCAGAUUGAGGCAAUUAAUUAACUCGUGCUAUGAAGCCCAUGAUUACCAAAGUGAAUGCUGUUCCACCAAGGUCAGAUAAAAUUAGCAUUAAUCUGCUGGUUUUGAAUUCAGCAGAUAGUUGACUACAACUUCAUUUAUAAGAAGACUUUUUCGGAUACAUUCCAGAGAUUGCACUAUUGUGAACAGCUCCUAUUUCUAACACUGUAUUUGCUGGUUCCCAAUCUGUAGUGAAUGAUGAAAAAUCCUUGAUAAAACAGAAUAUACUUUGCUUAUUCUUAUUCAGGCUUUUUCAAAUAUAAAAAUCAAUGACAACCUAUUUGUCAAAUUGCAGAGGGCAUGAGUAGAUUAAAAACAGGCGAAAAAAUAGGCAGAUGUUGCUACAUCUAGAGGCUUAUUUUAGACAAAUUUCAGAUGUUGAUUUAUAUCAAUAUGACAGGCAGCCAGAUAUACACUCAAAUUUCAAAGUGCAGAAUUCUUCCACAGCUUGGCAUUUCCUUUGGCGUUAUGUCCAAGAGCAUCCAUUUUAAACAAGGUACUUUGGGACACUUCUCACUUGAGAGCCAAGUAAACAUUUCAAUUUUAUUAUUUCUUUUCAAAAUGAACAGCUGGUCUUCUCUUUAUACAAUUAUGCUAUCAAAUAUUGAUUAGGGCAAUAAAUAAAAUAAAAAUAGGAGAGAAAGAGGUGAGUUCAAACAUCUGGCUACCCCUCUUCAGUACCAGCAGAGCACUGUUCGCCUCCACACCUUGCUGGAUGCUGAUGCAAACUUGUAGAUGGGGGACAGGAUUCAGUUUGUGACCCAGAAUGCAGAUAAAAACACCAUGGAAAUUACAGACUUUCUAUUCCUCUCAAUCGCCUCUCCUAUACUUACUGGACAGAGAAAAUACUAUGGAAGAGUAUCUAUGAAACAUACAUAUAAAUGUAAGAGGCAUUUAUGAAAGUUUUCAUAGUAGGAAAACUCCCUUCUUGAAAGGAAAACUCCUCCUUCUUGAAGAAGAAAAACUAACUUCCUUCUCCUUUUCCUUCUGGAAAACUUCCUUCUGGAGAUGACCAAUGAGAUUUGCAGCAUCCCAGCAAAUAAAACUUUCAUAAUAAACUUCUGUGAAAGACAACAUAAAAGUAACUGAAGUUUGAGUGCCUGGGGUGGUGGAGGAGGAAGAACACAAAUCAGAAAAGCAUAUUCAAGUACAGAGGCUUUAAUUCUUUGCUCUGUUAAAUGAUAAUUGCUACAUAGAAAGUUCAGAAUGGACCUGACCUUUACCAUAAAAUCCUACAGUAAGUUUGUUUGCUAAGUGAUGGCAUUAAAAGCAUGUAUCUACUUGCUUCGUGAAGGAAAAACAAGAUCUCAAGUUUAACAUCCAUCAAGUUACAUCUUUUUAUUUAUGCAAGAAGUUCAUUUAGAAUUCCAUAACCUAACAGCAGUGACAAGGACAGCUUGUUUGGAAAGAGAAAUUAAUCUGAAUUUCAAACAAGCUAGUUUUCUAACUGGCAAAGCAUCUCUAAGGUCACGUCAGCUGUUUUACUGCCCUAAUGUCUCAAGCCAUGAAGUAUAUCUGACAGACACUCCCUGAAGGCUAGAAACUGUUAGGGUAGAGGCAGCCUGACAGAAAAUGUGGAAUAAAUGCACAAGACAACAAAACAAGUGUUAGGAACCCAUUGAGAUGUCACUAAACAAAUACUAAGGCAGCACAUACUGAUUAGCAAUGGAUGGAUGACCUUCUGGUCAUCAUUCUUCUAAGGUGCCAUUCAAAACACCAGCUUCUUUGUUUUUCCCUGAAAGCAUCACAGCAACAGCUACAGCACAUGCAAGUCACUUACAGGAAAGCAGCCUUUUAAUCUUCAGUGCAUCGUACCUUUUUACACCAACACUUAGUAGCUGGAGAGAGUAGAAAAAGAGUAACUAUGAACAGCAACACUACCAAAAGCCCUCAGGGGUCUUGGAGCUCAGACUUAAGUCUGAUUUUACAGAGGGCACAAAGAUUUCAGGACAAGAGAGAGUAAAAGUUUUUGCCUUAAGAGAAGGAGUGUGGGACUGGGACAAAGCAGAAUGUCUAGAGUAAGUGAUGAGUAGGCUAAAGACACUCAUUCUUCUCAGAGACACCAAGUGACAGGAUUAGAAUCAAUGUGAGAAUUUAAAUACAAGAAAUUCCUCUUGAAAAUAAAAUUUUAUUUUAAUUACAGUGAA
Molecule: long non-coding RNA, 2889 nt
Organism: Passer domesticus (house sparrow)
Lineage: Eukaryota; Metazoa; Chordata; Aves; Passeriformes; Passeridae
Exons: 2
Source: RefSeq, a predicted model, not a curated record